This is a non-coding RNA of Ictidomys tridecemlineatus (thirteen-lined ground squirrel), 1050 nucleotides long. Lineage: Eukaryota; Metazoa; Chordata; Mammalia; Rodentia; Sciuridae. The record is from RefSeq and is a predicted model, not a curated record.
CUCUCUGAUAAGUGGAGGGACAGGAAGAGGACAUAAGGGCAGGAAAGAUGGUGGAAUGGGAUGGACAUCAUUACCCUGGAUUCAUGUGUGACUGCACACAUGGUGCAACGCUACAUCCUGUACAACCAGAGAAGUUUUCUACGUUUUGACGCUACUUACUUUCAGACAUGCUCACUCCAGGACUGCAAACUAGGAAGACCUUCACAGCUACUCGAUCCAACAGUAUCAGAACUGGGUAUGCUUCUUUGACACUCUGAACUCUGAAGCUUCUUAAGUAAAGAACAUAAGAUCAAGCUCACCUAAUAAUUGUUGGUAGACCCAAGAAAAUUAAUGGAAUAGUCCUAAAUUCCCUGACAUUUGUGCACUUCGGUAGCUGCCUAUUAUAUUGUGUUCUUUAUCAUUGGGAAAUGUGGAUUUCAGCUUUAUAAGUCUAAGUGACAUGAACAAAUCUUUCUACCCCCCAUCUCCCAUCCAGCACUUUUUUGUGCAUUUUGAAUUUAUGGCUGCAUUUCUAUUAGUUCCCAACAGUAUUCACUAGAUUAAAGCUGCAUCAGAAAUUGGAUUUUUUUUCUACUUUUGCCCCUGAAGAGUGUAAUAAAAAAAUAACUCAAUAAAUCUAGCAAAUUAGCAAUAAGAUUUCAAACUUUGGGGCAUAUGUGCAAAUAUGCUGUUAGGGAAGAAAUGUGAAACUAUCGACAGCUGAACCAAUCAUAUUACAUAUUACUAUUAUAAGCAGAAAGAGUAAAAGAAAAUCCUUCCCUCUAAAUUGAACCAAGUUUACCACAAGUUUAAAAAAAAGAUGUCUCAGGGGUAGAGAAUUUCAUUGUUUUAUUUCCUUUGUAGCUACCAUAAUUUUUUGUGAAAUAGAACAUUUUGAAAAGUCAUUUCUUAACUUUUUUUUUUACUCUAAAGUGGGAACUUGGACAGAUGAAAGUUAAAGCCAAUUCUUCUCAUAGACCCAUUGGCUGUACUAUUUGAACUCGAAUUGAACAAAUCACCUUAUCUUACCUUGUGGUCCCUUGAUUGUAAUAAAAGAUAUAUUAAUUCCAA